AACUAUGAGUUGAACUGGGACUCAAGCUAUGUGCCUUCAACAUCAAAAAAUUACAAAAGAUCAAUUACGAUUGAGCAACAACUCAGGCUACUUGCCUGUUGUUAUUGUCAAGAAUGGAAUCUUUGGUUUCUGAAACAGGCCACUCAGCCUCCUACUUCAACUCCUAUCAUCUCUGGAUUUCUAAUAUUCAGAUUCCAUGAUUUCCUUUAAUUCCUCCUUGAUAGUAAAUAUAAUCUUGGUGCGCAGACAUCACUGUUUAUGUUAUUUUCUCCAAAAAUUCUCCCUCUGAAUCUGUGUGAUAUAUUUUUGGCUCCUCUUCUUCAACAACAAAAUCUAUACCCUUGCUAUUCUCAACCACCUGCAUUGAGAAGCAAUUGUGCAAUAGAUCGUCACACCUCAAAAAGUAGUCAUCAUGAAAACGUGUUUCACAUAUAUUUGACAUAUUGUUUCAGCAAUCUCAUCAGUAUCAGACUCUCCUUUCUUUCAUUUAUCACUAGGGCCCUGUCCUGAUCGGUCACUUUUCUGAGCCGGGAUCAAUAAGUGGAAGUCAUAUCUUUUGCAAAAUUUCAAAUUUAAUAUCCUUGUUGUUCUUACCCACCUGCAUUUGGAAAGAAAACUUUUACUAUUGGAUUAUCACAGCUUAAGAAAUUUAUAUGUCUCGUGAUAAUAUUUUUUUUCUCUUGAUGCCAAUGACCAGUGACUAAUACUACUGGCGCCUAAAUAUGGCAAUUGAGCUUGCUCCUGCUAUAAUUCAAGGGCCCAUCAGCAAAAAUGCCUCGAGUAGUUAAACGGGCAGGAGAUAAUAACAGAAUAAUUAUGUGCACGGGUGAACCUUAUACUUAUCCUACAUUUCUUAUAUAUUAUUGUUAUUUUGUAGUUUAUGUUAUUUUAUAUUAUUUUAUUAUGAGUCAAUUGAUCGUACUAAUAUAUCGUCUCUUGUUGUUUUCUUGAGUUGAAGGUCUCCUGGAAACAAACUCUCUGCCCUUCGGGGCAGGAGUAAGGUCUGCACACAUAUUAUCCUCCCCAGACCUCCCUUGUAAAACUAUAUUGGGCCGUUGUUGUUGUUGAAACUUAUACUUAUUUACCUGGGCUAGCGCCCAAAAAUUAAUGUCACGAAAGUUUAUUGAAUGGCAGAUAAAGCUUUCUAGUUACACGAUGAUAAUGCAAAAAGUACGUCAAAUGAUUUCCGAUAAAUGAAACUUUUGAAAUUAAAUAAUUCCACCAAUAUAGACUUCGUCGAAUAUAUGUACGAAAUGGAAAAGACCAUUGAAACAAAGCUCAACAGUGAAAUACUACGUAUUACCCAUGUUUUGCGUCUGUUUCUAGAAAGUGAUAGAAGAAAACUAUGUUAUUGUUAUACCGAGCACUUCCAGUGCUAUAAUCUCAAAUGGCAUGUAAAACUUUUUUUAAUUACACGAUGAUAAUGCCAAAGAAAAUUUCACAUAAUACUCCAGGAAGAACUGAUUAUUAGCUAAAGCAUAUUAAAUUUUUUUCAAGAAUGGCCUGAUCCAAGCUAAUAUUACCUUCAAGUGCACCUAGGCGGUGUUUGAUAUGGAUGUAGCAAAAUUUACCUUAAUUUUGUCAAUCCAAACACGAUCUAUAACUUGACAGUUCUCUCAACAAUACAUCAUCAAUAUGCCAUGAAAUUUCAAUAACUUGUGAUGCAUGGAACAUUUUGCCUAUAAAAAUAAACACACUUCUCCGAGCUAAAGACUUGUGGUGAAGACUUUUUGAGAAUGAAAAGAGUUGCAAUUUCUUACCAGGGCACUGUUAACCUGCAAAUAUAGAAACACGGAGCAGGGACUAAAAAGAGUAAAACAUAGCAGUCAAUAUAGAAAAUUUCAGCAGUACUAAAUCUCACCUUCGGAGAACAGCAGGAGGAAGAUUUGAAACAGAGUGAGGCGAGAGUCCACAAUAACCACAAACGCAUAGGGAUGGAUGGCUAAGCACACACCGUACUGAGAAAAGGUAGGAUGCUG
Molecule: long non-coding RNA, 1979 nt
Filed under: Nicotiana benthamiana
Lineage: Eukaryota; Viridiplantae; Streptophyta; Magnoliopsida; Solanales; Solanaceae
Description: long non-coding RNA (NBEN_LNC034639)
Source: RNAcentral